RNAcentral lists this ribosomal RNA (340 nucleotides) under uncultured eukaryote. RNAcentral's name for it is "bacterial SSU rRNA". It matches the Rfam family "Eukaryotic small subunit ribosomal RNA", at positions 22 to 377 of the family's 1831-position model. The record is from RNAcentral.
AGUCAUAUGCUUGUCUCAAAGAUUAAGCCAUGCAUGUCUCAGUAUAAGCUUCUACACGGCGAAACUGCGAAUGGCUCAUUAAAACAGUUAUAGUUUAUUUGAUGAUGGACUACAUGGAUAACCGUAGUAAUUCUAGAGCUAAUACAUGCUGUAAGCCUGACUUUACGGAAGGGUUGUAUUUAUUAGAUCCCAAACCAAUAGUUUCGACUAUUGUGAUGAAUCAUAAUAACUGGUCGGAUCGGGUCAUACUCGAUGGAUCAUUCAAGUUUCUGCCCUAUCAGCUUUCGAUGGUAGUGUAUUGGACUACCAUGGCGAUAACGGGUAACGGGGAAUUAGGGUU